GCGACAGACUGACCUGUCCAGGUGACCCCGCCGCUCCCCAGGAACGUAGCUGCAGCUCCUCCCGACCCCACUAGAGACAAGGUGUUGGAAAACGGACGGAUGUUUCCAUUCCAUUCGGGUCGAUCCCGACAGCAGCCAUUUUGUUUUCCUAUAUUUCUCUUGCUCGUUGGUCCAGCGUCCCUGACGGCUCCUCUGGCGCUCUGACUGCAGAACCUGGUGUGGCGGUUCUGCAUGUGGCUGAACUGCAGCCGGUCGGACCUGCAGCCGCAGUGGCAGAGCAGACAAACCUGCAGCUUUAAAAUGAAAGACAAAUAAACACCAUAAAAUCACCUGAACACCGACGCAGGAGUGAUCUGAGCUCAAACCCGUCUGAGGGGAUCUGACAGCUUGCAGACAGGAAGCUCAGAGUUUAACGUUCAACAAGCAGAGGAAAAACAACAAAACUCAUUCUGCAAAACAGAAAGUUUGAGGUUUUUCUCUGAUGCUGCCUCCAGUGUUUCCGUAUCAUUAGCAUCCCGAUGGCUUUCAUUCCUGCUGGGAUCUGAGGCUCUUCUGCUGCUUUCAAAUCUUCUGUUAGCUCAACGUUCUUCUGGAACGUUAGCCGGUUUAGUCCGUUCCAGAACCAGUUUGGAUCAUUUUCCAGCUGGAUCGCCCAACUGGGAUCCAAACAUCCAACAUACUGGUUUAAUGAAUCCAGACGUCUCAAUGGGACUGUCAAUGGAAGCCCCACAGCAUGAUGCAGCCACCGCCAUGCUUGAUAGAUUAGAUGUAAAUACAUGUGAAGGAAGAAAGGGGAACGGUUCAGAUUUAUUAUUCUGGACUGAAUGAUUCGACUUUAUUACUGCAGAACUGAGUUAUAAUUACACACAUUAAUAAAUAUUAAAGGCUAGUUUUAGCUAACAACUUGAACUCGUUAACUGUUUUCAGAAAACCAGAAUUUCACCUCAAGCAAACAGAAAAACUUUUCCUGUGACACUGAGGGAGUUACGUGAAGUGAUUUUUCCACUGAUGUUCUCUGAGGCGACGGAAACACGGCUGGAGAUUCGAAGCGAGCGUGCAUGUGGCGACAGCGGAGAGGAAAACUCUCCUUGAACAGGAAGGAAGCUGCAGCAGAACCAGAGCAGAGGAGCUUCUGCGUCUCCUUCAGCGGCUCAUCCAGGAGGGAGGCUGAAGGUUUGGGGUCAAAGGUCAAGGCAGAUCUAUCAGAAUCAAUCGGAGGUUAAAUCUCUUCAUUUUAUUCGUUUGCAGCUAAUAAACGUCACGUCUGAAGUCUGAAUGAAGAAAGAUCAGCGGAGCAGAAAACGGAUCUGUUCUGGUUUUCAUUUGUUCAGUUCUUUUUUUAAUCUCUUCUCAA
Long non-coding RNA from Gambusia affinis (western mosquitofish), 1354 nucleotides. RefSeq lists it as uncharacterized. Lineage: Eukaryota; Metazoa; Chordata; Actinopteri; Cyprinodontiformes; Poeciliidae. The record is from RefSeq and is a predicted model, not a curated record. The transcript has 3 exons.